RNAcentral lists this ribosomal RNA (732 nucleotides) under Bacillus altitudinis. Its description in RNAcentral is "bacterial SSU rRNA". It matches the Rfam family "Bacterial small subunit ribosomal RNA", at positions 91 to 808 of the family's 1533-position model. Lineage: Bacteria; Bacillati; Bacillota; Bacilli; Caryophanales; Bacillaceae. The record is from RNAcentral.
GUUAGCGGCGGACGGGUGAGUAACACGUGGGUAACCUGCCUGUAAGACUGGGAUAACUCCGGGAAACCGGAGCUAAUACCGGAUAGUUCCUUGAACCGCAUGGUUCAAGGAUGAAAGACGGUUUCGGCUGUCACUUACAGAUGGACCCGCGGCGCAUUAGCUAGUUGGUGAGGUAACGGCUCACCAAGGCGACGAUGCGUAGCCGACCUGAGAGGGUGAUCGGCCACACUGGGACUGAGACACGGCCCAGACUCCUACGGGAGGCAGCAGUAGGGAAUCUUCCGCAAUGGACGAAAGUCUGACGGAGCAACGCCGCGUGAGUGAUGAAGGUUUUCGGAUCGUAAAGCUCUGUUGUUAGGGAAGAACAAGUGCAAGAGUAACUGCUUGCACCUUGACGGUACCUAACCAGAAAGCCACGGCUAACUACGUGCCAGCAGCCGCGGUAAUACGUAGGUGGCAAGCGUUGUCCGGAAUUAUUGGGCGUAAAGGGCUCGCAGGCGGUUUCUUAAGUCUGAUGUGAAAGCCCCCGGCUCAUCCGGGGAGGGUCAUUGGAAACUGGGAAACUUGAGUGCAGAAGAGGAGAGUGGAAUUCCACGUGUAGCGUGAAAUGCGUAGAGAUGUGGAGGAACACCAGUGGCGAAGGCGACUCUCUGGGUCUGUAUCUGACGCUGAGGAGCGAAUGCGUGGGGAGCGAACAGGAAUUAGAUCCCCUGGUAGUUCACGCCGUAAACG